CAAUAGCGUAUAUUAAAGUUGUUGCAGUUAAAAAGCUCGUAGUUGGAUUUGUGGCGUACGGUGGGUUCCGGGCACUUGUUGUCUGAGUAACUUGCUGUUGCCAUCCUUGGGUGGAACCUGUGUGGCAUUAGGUUGUCGUGCAGGGGAUGCCCAUCAUUUACUGUGAAAAAAUUAGAGUGUUCAAAGCAGGCUUAUGCCGUUGAAUAUAUUAGCAUGGAAUAAUGAGAUAGGACUUUUUUGCUAUUUUGUUGGUUUGCGCAAAGAGGUAAUGAUUAAUAGGGACAGUUGGGGGUAUUCGUAUUCCAUUGUCAGAGGUGAAAUUCUUGGAUUUUUGGAAGACGAACUACUGCGAAAGCAUUAACCAAGGAUGUUUUCAUUAA
This 380-nucleotide ribosomal RNA is filed under the name uncultured eukaryote. Its description in RNAcentral is "partial 18S ribosomal RNA". It matches the Rfam family "Eukaryotic small subunit ribosomal RNA", at positions 592 to 976 of the family's 1831-position model. The record is from RNAcentral.